CCGUCUCCUCACAACUGUCAAUCUACAAAAUUGUGAUACAAUUCAAUCUGAUUAGUUUAUGAAAUAACAUAUGUUAUUUGUAACAUUUAUCACAAAUUUAGCAAUAUACAAUGAAUCCUAAACCAGAAGUAAACCCUAUACCUUAAAAGAAAAUCAAAGUAUCCCUAAAUCGAGUAUUUAUAUUUUUACAUUAUAUUUGAAUUUUGUAAAAAAAAGUAUCCCAAGAUUUUUAAAACACGCAACUAUAAUAUAUUUCUGUUUUAACAUAUCUGAACCAUCAGAAUCUCCUUCUGAAAAUGACCUUCGGUGCUCUAAAUCUUUUUGUUAGUUAACCCAUUUUUACUUCAAAAUUUGAAUAUUUAUAUUAUAUCCGAAUAUUUUUAAAAUCAAUAAUCAAGAUUUUAUAGAAAUUAUUUAUUUUCUUAACUUAUUAUACAAGAUUCUUAUUCACUAUAUAUAACCCAACCGAACACCCUUGGAUACAAAAAGGAAAACUCUAAACAUCUCGAUACUUUAAUAGCACCUCCUAAGAAAAUUAGUAGCCAAACUGAUGUCAAACCUUUAAAAAUACGAUGGUAGAUUCAAGAAAGAUCUGGAAGCAAUUUAGUGCUCAAUAUGGCAAGAGUUUAAGAUUAUUCUCGCAGAUCAAAAUGGAACAAAAAUACAUGCAACAUUUUUUUAUAAAAGGCCUUCAAAAGAUACAUGCAACAUUGAAACAUAUUUCUUGAUUGAAUUCAUUGGACAAGCCAUGGACGUUGGUGAAAUUAAUCCUUUGUUGUGGAAAAGAGAUAACAAAAAAUAGAGUUCAAUCAUAGAGAUUAUGGGUUUUUUUAACUAAUACUGUCAUAUUUUUAUCCCUGUUGUAUAGUGUAUCCAUCUUGAGAUGGAUUUGAUAUUGCAAGCAGUACUAACAAUAUCAAAAAUAUUGUUUUAGUGAUAACUUUUUCCACUAAGUUA
Molecule: long non-coding RNA, 957 nt
Organism: Raphanus sativus (radish)
Lineage: Eukaryota; Viridiplantae; Streptophyta; Magnoliopsida; Brassicales; Brassicaceae
Exons: 3
Source: RefSeq, a predicted model, not a curated record